This 549-nucleotide ribosomal RNA is filed under the name uncultured Glomeromycotina. RNAcentral's name for it is "SSU rRNA". It matches the Rfam family "Eukaryotic small subunit ribosomal RNA", at positions 548 to 1098 of the family's 1831-position model. The record is from RNAcentral. Lineage: Eukaryota; Fungi; Glomeromycota.
UUGGAGGGCAAGUCUGGUGCCAGCAGCCGCGGUAAUUCCAGCUCCAAUAGCGUAUAUUAAAGUUGUUGCAGUUAAAAAGCUCGUAGUUGAAUUUCGGGAUCAUCAGGUUGGUCGUGCCUCUGGUAUGUACUUUCCUCGAUGGUUCCUCCUUCUUGAAGAUCCGUAAUGUCAUUAAUUUGGUGUUGCGGGGAAUCAGGACUGUUACUUUGAAAAAAUUAGAGUGUUUAAAGCAGGCAAUCGCUUGAAUACAUUAGCAUGGAAUAAUGAAAUAGGACGUUCGAUCCUAUUUUGUUGGUUUCUAGGAUUGACGUAAUGAUUAAUAGGGAUAGUUGGGGGCAUUAGUAUUCAAUUGUCAGAGGUGAAAUUCUUGGAUUUAUUGAAGACUAACUACUGCGAAAGCAUUUGCCAAGGAUGUUUUCAUUAAUCAAGAACGAAAGUUAGGGGAUCGAAGACGAUCAGAUACCGUCGUAGUCUUAACCAUAAACUAUGCCGACUAGGGAUCGGAUGAUGUUAAUUUUUUAAUGACUCAUUCGGCGCCUUACGGGAAAC